AUUGAACGCUGGCGGCAGGCUUAACACAUGCAAGUCGAGCGAGCGGCGCACGGGUGUGUAAUGUCUGGGAAACUGCCUGAUGGAGGGGGAUAACUACUGGAAACGGUAGCUAAUACCGCAUACCAUCAGAUGUGCCCAUAUGGGAUUAGCUAGUAGGUGGGGUAAUGGCUCACCUAGGCGACGAUCCCUAGCUGGUCGGAGAGGAUGACGAGGCGCACUGGAACUGAGACACGGUCCAGACUCCGCAGGGAGGCAGCAGUGGGGAAUGUUGCACAAUGGGCGCAAGCCUGAUGCGGCCUUGCCGGGUGUGUGAAGAAGGCCGUCGGGUUGUAAAGCACUUUCAGCGAGGAGGGGUUACUCGCAGAAGAAGCACCGGCUAACUACGUGCCAGCAGCCGCGGUAAUAC
Molecule: ribosomal RNA, 406 nt
Filed under: uncultured bacterium
Lineage: Bacteria
Description: partial 16S ribosomal RNA
Rfam family: Bacterial small subunit ribosomal RNA
Source: RNAcentral